Molecule: ribosomal RNA, 254 nt
Filed under: uncultured bacterium
Lineage: Bacteria
Description: partial 16S ribosomal RNA
Rfam family: Bacterial small subunit ribosomal RNA
Source: RNAcentral
UACGUAGGGGGCAAGCGUUGUCCGGAAUCAUUGGGCGUAAAGAGCGCGUAGGCGGCCACCGCAAGUCGACUGUGAAAUCUCCGGGCUUAACCCGGAAAGGUCAGCCGAUACUGCGGGGCUAGAGUGCAGAAGGGGCAACUGGAAUUCUCGGUGUAGCGGUGAAAUGCGUAGAUAUCGAGAGGAACACCUGCGGCGAAGGCGGGUUGCUGGGCUGACACUGACGCUGAGGCGCGAAAGCUAGGGGAGCGAACGGG